CACCAAGUGCUGAGAUCCUGACUCAACCUUCUGCAGACCAAGAAGUGAGCGAGAGAUCCACUUCAUCCUUCCAACAGACACCAAGUGUUGACAUCCUGACUCAACCUUCUGCAGACCAAGAAGUGAGCGAGAGAUCCACUUCAUCCUUCCAACAGAUUCCCAGCAGAGCACAGCACUUCAACUACAUUCAUCCCAGGCAUCCUCAAAACACCCCAGUGGAAAGCAAGCUGGAAAGGUGAAAAGCAAGUGGACAGAUGAUGAAGUGAAGGCUGUUGAGCAGCACAUGUUGCAUUUCAUAACAAGCUGCAAAGUACCAG
Epinephelus fuscoguttatus (brown-marbled grouper) is the source of this 317-nucleotide long non-coding RNA. RefSeq lists it as uncharacterized. The transcript is spliced from 4 exons. NCBI's taxonomy places the organism in Eukaryota, Metazoa, Chordata, Actinopteri, Perciformes, Serranidae. The record is from RefSeq and is a predicted model, not a curated record.